RNAcentral lists this ribosomal RNA (465 nucleotides) under uncultured bacterium. RNAcentral describes it as "partial 16S ribosomal RNA". It matches the Rfam family "Bacterial small subunit ribosomal RNA", at positions 342 to 795 of the family's 1533-position model. The record is from RNAcentral.
CGGGAGGCUCCAGCAGUGGGGAAUAUUGGACAAUGGGGGAAACCCUGAUCCAGCAAUGCCGCGUGUGUGAAGAAGGCCUGCGGGUUGUAAAGCACUUUCGGUUGGGAGGACUGCUUCUAGCACUAAUAUUGUUGGAAGUUGACGUUACCUUCAGAAGAAGCACCGGCUAACUCCGUGCCAGCAGCCGCGGUAAUAUGGAGGGUGCAAGCGUUAAUCGGAAUUACUGGGCGUAAAGCGCGCGUAGGCGGCUAGAUCAGUCGGGUGUGAAAGCCCCGGGCUUAACCUGGGAACUGCAUCCGAUACUGUCUAGCUUGAGUACAGGAGAGGAGAGUGGAAUUCCACAUGUAGCGGUGAAAUGCGUAGAUAUGUGGAGGAACACCAAUGGCGAAGGCAGCUCUCUGGCCUGAUACUGACGCUGAGGUGCGAAAGCGUGGGGAGCAAACAGGAUUAGAUACCCCCGUAGUC